Heterocephalus glaber (naked mole-rat) is the source of this 474-nucleotide long non-coding RNA. The record is from Ensembl. Lineage: Eukaryota; Metazoa; Chordata; Mammalia; Rodentia; Bathyergidae.
AGGAGUAUCUUCCUGCCUCCUAGGCCCUUGCCCUGUCCUCAGCAAGUCUUCUGUGGACUUUUGGCUAUGGUCACCUCAAAUCGAAAAUACUAUCGGUGCCUCUUGCUGAACUCAAGCUCUGGAGUGGCUCGCAGAGGAACCAGAGAUGUCAACAGGUCCUGCCUCCUAAAAGCACAUUCAACCAUGGACUCAUCAGUGAUUAAUCCAUUGAAGAGUAGUAUGGGUGAUGAUGAUGAUGAUGAUGAUGAUGAUGAUGAUGGUGACUUUGGCAUUGGCUAUGAGAGCCAAACUUCCUGUGACAACAAAAUGGAGCAAGAAUUGACUGAUACAGACACAGGAAAUGCAGACCUCCUUGAUUCAAAUGUCGAAGAAAAUAGCAACUAGGAAGCUCCUGACAAAACAGGAAGAGAAGAGAGGUGACAAGAAUGGCCUGCCACAUAGGAAAGGAAAGCUAAGCACAUGUGCAUGGAACAU